Molecule: ribosomal RNA, 499 nt
Filed under: uncultured bacterium
Lineage: Bacteria
Description: partial 16S ribosomal RNA
Rfam family: Bacterial small subunit ribosomal RNA
Source: RNAcentral
ACUCAAAGAAUAGACGGGGGCCCGCACAAGCGGUGGAACAUGUGGUUUAAUUCGAAGCAACGCGAAGAACCUUACCAGGGCUUGACAUCUGAGGAAAGUUGCGGAAACGUGACUGUGCUCGCAAGAGAACCUCAAGACAGGUGGUGCAUGGCUGUCGUCAGCUCGUGUCGUGAGAUGUUGGGUUAAGUCCCGCAACGAGCGCAACCCUCGUUGUUAGUUGCCAUCAGGUAAAGCUGGGCACUCUAGCGAGACUGCCGGUGACAAACCGGAGGAAGGUGGGGACGAGGUCAAGUCAUCAUGCCCUUUAUGCCCUGGGCUACACACGUGUUACAAUGGCUAGGACAAUGUGAAGCAAGACCGCGAGGUGGAGCGAAUCACCAAACCUAGUCCCAGUUCGGAUCGCAGGCUGCAACUCGCCUGCGUGAAGUCGGAAUCGCUAGUAAACGCCGAUCAGCACGCGGCGUUGAAUACGUUCCCGGGCCUUGUACACACCGCCCGU